Molecule: ribosomal RNA, 324 nt
Filed under: Pseudomonas songnenensis
Lineage: Bacteria; Pseudomonadati; Pseudomonadota; Gammaproteobacteria; Pseudomonadales; Pseudomonadaceae
Description: bacterial SSU rRNA
Rfam family: Bacterial small subunit ribosomal RNA
Source: RNAcentral
UACCAGCACGUUAAGGUGGGCACUCUAAGGAGACUGCCGGUGACAAACCGGAGGAAGGUGGGGAUGACGUCAAGUCAUCAUGGCCCUUACGGCCUGGGCUACACACGUGCUACAAUGGUCGGUACAAAGGGUUGCCAAGCCGCGAGGUGGAGCUAAUCCCAUAAAACCGAUCGUAGUCCGGUUAGCAGUCUGCAACUCGACUGCGUGAAGUCGGAAUCGCUAGUAAUCGUGAAUCGGAGUGUCACGGUGAAUACGUUCCCGGGCCUUGUUCUCUCUCCCGUCACACCAUGGGAGUGGGUUGCUCCAUUAGUAGCUAGUCUAACC